AACGAACGCUGGCGGCAUGGAUUAGGCAUGCAAGUCGAACGAAGUAGCAAUACUUAGUGGCGGAAGGGUGAGGAACGCGUGAGUAACUUGCCUCCAAGUUGGGAAUAACAGUUGGAAACGGCUGCUAAUACCUGAUGUGGUUAUCUUUUCGCAUGAGAGGGUAACUAAAGAUUUAUCGCUUGGAGAUAGGCUCGCGUCCCAUUAGCUAGUUGGUGAGGUAACGGCUCACCAAGGCGACGAUGGGUAGCUGGUCUGAGAGGAUGGUCAGCCACACUGGGACUGAGACACUGCCCAG
This 295-nucleotide ribosomal RNA is filed under the name uncultured bacterium. RNAcentral describes it as "partial 16S ribosomal RNA". It matches the Rfam family "Bacterial small subunit ribosomal RNA", at positions 29 to 334 of the family's 1533-position model. The record is from RNAcentral.